GUGGAAGAGGAGUUGAGAGGAUGAGGAGCAGAGGGUCGGAUUUCAGAAAGUGGGAAGAAGCGGAGGCUAGCCAGUUGAAAUUUAUUGUCCUUAUCGUUAGGUCUCCCCCAAUCUCGUCCUUGAAGAACAGCGACCUUGCUCGAUCAGGGCAGCUCGUCAGCUUGCUUGCCAGCUGCAGGCCGAUUAAAUGAGUAUCUCAGGCACGCUGCUGUCCAAGACAUCAUACACGCUUCGGCCCUGCAUCAUUCAUAUCUUCUCCUAGGUGUGUGAGGAGGAGAAAUCAGGAGGACGAGGAGGAGAACAGUGAUCAUGUACAUGUAUGUAUGUAUUUUUUGCUUAUGACAUUCAAAACAAAUUACGUACCAUGCAAGGUCAAUACUACAGAUUGGUUCUCAAAGCCUUUUUUAGCUUGAUCUGUUGCAUCAUGCAUCGACUCCAUGUUCAUGUCAAGCUGACACUCUUCCCCCUAAUUCUUCAUGUUUUUUCAUGGUUACAAAUUCAGUUAUAACUUGGUUUGAUCUGUUGUAUCAGGCGAAACGAGUUGUCCUCAUUUGUGUGUAAAAACAGUCAGUUUAAAGCUAUACAGAAUAUGGACAAAAUGGGGACAGAAAGCUCAAAGAUGGCAAAAAGGGACCUUCAGGAGAUAUUUCGGUUGACGACAGUACUAUCAACGAGCAUUUAUUUCAUCCACAAUAAAGUUAGAGGAUGAGUCCCGCCCUGCUUGUAAGUAGCUGCUAUAUCAACUUGAUGUUCUUGACUAAGAUCAUGGUAAGCUUUAAUUUAAAAUCAAAUUAUUAUUUAGGUUGUAUUUGUUUUUCUAUUCAGAAACUGCCUUACCUUGGUUUUGUGACACUGUAUUGGGUGUCUUCUUUUCCUUUGAAGUGUUGAGAUGUCAGGUUUGUGGAGAUCUUCAUUGUUCCUUCUUUUUUGAAGCUCACACCGAUGUAACAUGAUAGUUCUCUACCCUAACAAUGUAAUAUUGCGCAUCAAGAUUAUGCAUUAUGAAAUUUGUAUUUUCUUA
Molecule: long non-coding RNA, 1021 nt
Filed under: Triticum aestivum (bread wheat)
Lineage: Eukaryota; Viridiplantae; Streptophyta; Magnoliopsida; Poales; Poaceae
Description: long non-coding RNA (TAES_LNC017926)
Source: RNAcentral